RNAcentral lists this long non-coding RNA (1197 nucleotides) under Triticum aestivum (bread wheat). RNAcentral's name for it is "long non-coding RNA (TAES_LNC016255)". The record is from RNAcentral. Lineage: Eukaryota; Viridiplantae; Streptophyta; Magnoliopsida; Poales; Poaceae.
ACGACCUCCUGCCAUGUGCGCCUCCUUCCUGCUCCACCCCGGCCACGAGCGCCUCCCCGGUUUCUCUGUUCGCUGCCACCAGCCGCCAUCGACGGCACGCCUAGCAGUGUACCGCCAUUGCCAACCAUCAGCCUCCUACCGACCCCCAGCUGCUUCGCCCGUUGCCAUGUUGAACUUCUCGUGGAGGCCGCUUUGACCUUCCUGAGUUAGCUUCAUAUUUGUUUUUUUUUUGUGCUCGACGGUGAGACACGAUCUCCUUCAGCUCUCUUGUUCUUCCUGCAAACAAGGUCGGGUUCAGUUUUGGUGGCUUGACGCUGCAUGCUCUGGUUGCUACUUGAACUGCUUGCUGCACCUGUUACACCUUCUCCUCCUAGUCCUCAAUCAAUGGACACAACAUGGCUGUAAUGUUCCUGCUAUUCAAAUUACUCUAAACUUGUAUGGUCGACACUUCAAUUUUUCGCUCUUCCAGGUGGCAUUCAGAAGCUCAGCUCGGCGCCAUGCAGGAUGCUGCAGAGCUGCCGUGGUGAGCCUGCUGAGUAGAGGUCGAGGCGCUGGAGUCCGGCGGCGCUGCUGCAUGCCAUGUGCUCUUUUUGGCUGAGGUCGAGCUGCUGGAGUGCGGUGGUGCUCGUUACCCUCCUAGAGUCCGGUGUUGCUGUUGGCUUUAUCUUGUUGCUGUUUGUCUAACUGUGAGAGAGAGCAUGUAUUUUCUCUUCCUGUACACUUACUACUCUGAAUAAUUGGAUCCCGUCAGUAGGUUGGUGUUGUACUAAAUAAUGCAACGUAAUUAACAAUCUACGUGUUUGGGUUGCACUGUCGCUAGUGUAUUUCCUACAGUUUGUAUAGUUUCCUUAGUUUCUUUCGAUUUGUACUUUCAUUUUGUUAAAUAUAUGUCUCUUGAUGAAAUCCUUACCUGUACAACAUUGAGAGGUGGAAGUGUGCAGGGACGCACCGUCCAAGUCCCAAUUGCCCUGACGGUGACCCAACACCAUCACAGUCCAGCCCCGUAGCGUCAGGGAGGUCGAGGCCAUCGCGAGCAGAAGUCCAUAGCAGAAGGUGAUGGUCAGCGUAGCACUUCCAUCCCAUCCAUGUUCAGCAUAUUUUUGAUUUUGGGUAGCAACAAUGCGUAAUGUAUGGAAGCCAGUCAGGCUCGCACUUCCUCAUCUCCCGCUGUCGGCGACGACACUCCCUUCCUCCAGC